Molecule: non-coding RNA, 286 nt
Organism: Pelobates cultripes (western spadefoot toad)
Lineage: Eukaryota; Metazoa; Chordata; Amphibia; Anura; Pelobatidae
Source: the annotation of a GenBank genome assembly
GGAGAGUUCCUGCUUCAAAACUCCACUUCACAUAAUUCCAUGGCACUACUCUGAUAAUGAGUUCCUACUGGAGGGCCACAUGUCCCAUACCACAAUCUCUCCCACUCUGCAGACUUGGAAACAAACAAGGGGUGCUUUCAACCUCUCCUCACAUCCCUCUCUUCUAAAACCUCUAACUUCCAAUCCAUUAUUCCCCCUGAGCUACGUAGUCAAGCUUUUGACUUUAUUCACACACUGCAGAAAACACAUUGCCUUAGAUUGGCAUCAGUCUUAGAUGGGGCCAAUA